ACAAAUCUCCAACUUCGUGAAGUGGUAGAUGAAAUCGUCAUAUGACAUCCUGAGAGGUUGGAAAAAAGAGAGAUCCAUAUGGGAGGCCGGGAAAGGUGAAGACUCCAGGGCUAACACGGCACAAUAAAACAGGAGCUUGGUGUUUCUAAAGGCCAGAUGGUUUUACACACUCUCUCUCCUCCAGAGGGAGAAAAUAAAGCACAUUUGUGUUCCAGAUACACUGAGGAGAAUGAAACUAAGCUGGAUGUCCUUGGAAAGGAAAUGUUGGGAAAAUUGCCAUCUUCAGCACUAAAAACAAAGAUAAACUGAGCACCGUCUUAUGGCAAGAUCUACUUCUACCAGUCCCAAGUGGAUCCCCUGAUUGGAGGCAAGCUCUGCAGAUCUGAAGCGGCACAGAAAGUGAAUUGCUGACUUCAGGAGGUUAACCUAAGUGCCCUCAAGCCCCG
Molecule: long non-coding RNA, 446 nt
Organism: Manis javanica (Malayan pangolin)
Lineage: Eukaryota; Metazoa; Chordata; Mammalia; Pholidota; Manidae
Source: RefSeq, a predicted model, not a curated record